GAUGAACGCUGGCGGCGUGCCUAAUACAUGCAAGUCGAGCGAACGGACGAGAAGCUUGCUUCUCUGAUGUUAGCGGCGGACGGGUGAGUAACACGUGGAUAACCUACCUAUAAGACUGGGAUAACUUCGGGAAACCGGAGCUAAUACCGGAUAAUAUUUUGAACCGCAUGGUUCAAAGGUGAAAGACGGUCUUGCUGUCACUAAUAGAUGGAUCCGCGCUGCAUUAGCUAGUUGGUAAGGUAACGGCUUACCAAGGCAACGAUGCAAAACCGACCUGAGAGGGUGAUCGGCCACACUGGAACUGAGACACGGUCCAGACUCCUACGGGAGGCAGCAGUAGGGUAUCUUCCGCAAUGGGCGAAAGCCUUACGGAGCAACGCCGCGUGAGUGAUGAAGGUCUUCGGAUCGUAAAACUCUGUUAUUAGGGAAGAACAUAUGUGUAAGUAACUGUGCACAUCUUGACGGUACCUAAUCAGAAAGCCACGGCUAACUACGUG
Molecule: ribosomal RNA, 497 nt
Filed under: uncultured bacterium
Lineage: Bacteria
Description: partial 16S ribosomal RNA
Rfam family: Bacterial small subunit ribosomal RNA
Source: RNAcentral